UACGGAGGGGGCUAGCGUUGUUCGGAAUUACUGGGCGUAAAGCGCGCGUAGGCGGCUUUGUAAGUUAGAGGUGAAAGCCCGGAGCUCAACUCCGGAACUGCCUUUAAAACUGCAUCGCUUGAAUCCAGGAGAGGUGAGUGGAAUUCCGAGUGUAGAGGUGAAAUUCGUAGAUAUUCGGAAGAACACCAGUGGCGAAGGCGACUCGCUGGACAAGUAUUGACGCUGAGGUGCGAAAGCGUGGGGAGCAAACAGG
This 253-nucleotide ribosomal RNA is filed under the name uncultured bacterium. Its description in RNAcentral is "partial 16S ribosomal RNA". It matches the Rfam family "Bacterial small subunit ribosomal RNA", at positions 524 to 776 of the family's 1533-position model. The record is from RNAcentral.